This 203-nucleotide long non-coding RNA is filed under the name Vigna radiata. RNAcentral's name for it is "long non-coding RNA (VRAD_LNC000082)". The record is from RNAcentral. Lineage: Eukaryota; Viridiplantae; Streptophyta; Magnoliopsida; Fabales; Fabaceae.
UAGGAUAUGUGGUUAGUCUCUCCCAACCUCGCCUCUCUAUCUCGAGUCCAAACUCUAGAGCCAAAUAUGGGAUGUACAUAGCCUUCCUCUCCAUCAAAAGUCGCUUUUCCUGUACAGUAGCAUAAUGCUCCUCAUGCUUCUUAGAGAGGAAUCUAGAAGAAUAGAAUCUCCUAGGUCUCUCUGGCUCCUUCCUUUUGUUGCCC